Ribozyme from Monodon monoceros (narwhal), 140 nucleotides. It matches the Rfam family "Nuclear RNase P". Rfam says of the family: Ribonuclease P (RNase P) is a ubiquitous endoribonuclease, found in archaea, bacteria and eukarya as well as chloroplasts and mitochondria. Its best characterised activity is the generation of mature 5'-ends of tRNAs by cleaving the 5'-leader elements of precursor-tRNAs. Lineage: Eukaryota; Metazoa; Chordata; Mammalia; Artiodactyla; Monodontidae. The record is from Ensembl.
GCGGAGGGAAGCCCAUCAGUGGGGCACAAGCUGAGUGCAUUUAGUCACUCCUUCCCAUGUCCCUUGGAAUGGUCUGAGACUAGGAGGAAAAAAAAACAAGUAUGAAAGAAUAGGUUUGAAAAAAUUAAGCUACCAACUGA